GAAGCGGCAACAGCUCAAAUUUGAAAUCUGGCGCAAGCCCGAGUUGUAAUUUGUAGAGGAUGCUUCUGGGUAGCGGCCGGUCUAAGUUCCUUGGAACAGGACGUCAUAGAGGGUGAGAAUCCCGUACGUGACUGGCUUGCACCCUCCACGUAGCUCCUUCGACGAGUCGAGUUGUUUGGGAAUGCAGCUCUAAAUGGGAGGUAAAUUUCUUCUAAAGCUAAAUACCGGCCAGAGACCGAUAGCGCACAAGUAGAGUGAUCGAAAGAUGAAAAGCACUUUGGAAAGAGAGUUAAAAAGCACGUGAAAUUGUUGAAAGGGAAGCGCCCGCAACCAGACUUUGCGGCAGUGUUCGGCCGGUCUUCUGACCGGUUUACUCGCUGUCGUGAGGCCAUCAUCGUCUGGGACCGCUGGAUAAGACCUUAGGAAUGUGGCUCCCCUCGGGGAGUGUUAUAGCCUCUGGUGAUGCAGCGCGUCUCGGGCGAGGUCCGCGCUUCGGCAAGGAUGAUGGCGUAAUGGUUGUCGGCGGCCCGUCUUGAAACACGGACCAAGGAGUCUAACAUCUAUGCGAGUGUUCGGGUGUCAAACCCCUACGCGUAAUGAAAGUGAACGGAGGUGGGAACUUUUUGUGCACCAUCGACCGAUCCUGAUGUCCUCGGAUGGAUUUGAGUAAGAGCAUAGCUGUUGGGACCCGAAAGAUGGUGAACUAUGCCUGAAUAGGGUGAAGCCAGAGGAAACUCUGGUGGA
Molecule: ribosomal RNA, 744 nt
Filed under: Pseudocercospora clematidis
Lineage: Eukaryota; Fungi; Ascomycota; Dothideomycetes; Mycosphaerellales; Mycosphaerellaceae
Description: eukaryotic LSU rRNA
Rfam family: Eukaryotic large subunit ribosomal RNA
Source: RNAcentral